This is a long non-coding RNA of Suricata suricatta (meerkat), 851 nucleotides long. RefSeq lists it as uncharacterized. The record is from RefSeq and is a predicted model, not a curated record. The transcript is spliced from 4 exons. Lineage: Eukaryota; Metazoa; Chordata; Mammalia; Carnivora; Herpestidae.
UUUACUAAAGAAUAAUUCUUUACCUAAGAAGAGACAAAUACAAGCACAUUCAUCUGUUGUCUGUAAUUCUGGCUGCUUAUUAUGGAUCCAGAAGCAUUUGGUGCAGAAAACCGGACCCUCCUCCUCCACACAGUUACUAUUUGUUUUAGUCGAUGAAAAUGGCAACAGCAUCUUCCAUUUUAUUCGUCAGAGCUUCUAAGGCAAAAGUAAACAGCAGUUUAAUUGGAUUCAGUUAUUCCAUGAAACAUCCUUUAUAGGCCCGUUGCCUUAUGGGCUUUGGAGAGUACUUACAAGUGGACAGUUGCUGGAGAGAUGAUUUGCAAAGCGAAAAACAAGUUUCCGUUUUUACUCACUUGAAAAUGAUCUAACAACCGCAUUCUGGGCCGUCUAAAUUCAGAGAGCUAAGAAGAUAUUUCAUGCCACAAGGAACUGGAGACUAUACAGAAGAGCAUUUAAAAGGCAAAAAGGAGCUCUUAGACAUUAAAAUUCUGAUUACAGACACAAAAAAUUCACAAGGAGAAUUUCAAGACAAGGAAGUCUUAAGAAAGUUGAAAAAGAGGACAAAGAAAUGGAAAAUAGGGAAGAAAAAAAUAGUGAGAAUUAGUCCAGGACAAUCAACAUUUGAAUAAAAGAGAGACCUGGAUAAAAUAGAAGGCAUCAUCAAAGAAAUAAUUCAAGGAAAAAUUUACAGACCCAAAGAACGUGAAUUUCCAGAUUAUAGAUGCCACAGAGAUGGAAAGUAUCUUUUGAAUCAAUAUUAACUCUGCAAAGUGCCUGAUGGGUGAUGACUAGAAGGUGAUCUACCACUACUGACUCAGUUAAAUUACAUAUUUUCUAAUCUUUCAACCUGA